RNAcentral lists this ribosomal RNA (505 nucleotides) under uncultured bacterium. Its description in RNAcentral is "bacterial SSU rRNA". It matches the Rfam family "Bacterial small subunit ribosomal RNA", at positions 15 to 507 of the family's 1533-position model. The record is from RNAcentral.
GAUCAUGGCUCAGGAUGAACGCUAGCUACAGGCUUAACACAUGCAAGUCGAGGGGAAACGACAUCGAAAGCUUGCUUCCGAUAGGCGUCGACCGGCGCACGGGUGAGUAACGCGUAUCCAACCUGGCCCAUACCACGGGAUAGCCCGUCGAAAGGCGGAUUAAUACCGUAUGCUGUCAUUAAGAUGCAUAUAUUGAUGACGAAAGGACUGGCGGUAUGGGAUGGGGAUGCGUCUGAUUAGCUUGUUGGCGGGGUAACGGCCCACCAAGGCGACGAUCAGUAGGGGUUCUGAGAGGAAGGUCCCCCACAUUGGAACUGAGACACGGUCCAAACUCCUACGGGAGGCAGCAGUGAGGAAUAUUGGUCAAUGGGCGCAAGCCUGAACCAGCCAAGUAGCGUGAGGGAUGACUGCCCUAUGGGUUGUAAACCUCUUUUAUAAGGGAAUAAAAUACGGGACGUGUCCUGUUUUGCAUGUACCUUAUGAAUAAGGACCGGCUAAUUCCGUG